ACCCCAAGUUCUGUUUAUCUACAUAACUAAAGGAAAAUGUGGCUUGUGCACAUCCGCCUCGUAGAGUGACAGACGGUGUAUUCUAUCCAGUUCGAUUGAAUGCUGAAGCUGUGCCGGUUCCUAGACCUGCCAUGACCACGGAACCGAACAACCAUAAUAAUAAUAUAGAGACCACCUGCUCGAUCGAGCCGGUGACAGAUACCGUCAAGGUAAUUCUCUCUCCUUCAUGAACUUCAUUUGGUGUGCCAGUGCGCAAAGAUCAAUGGAUUGCUUCCAUUGGUUUCAACGUACAUAAAAUGGGCCAUGUGGAGCAUUCACUGAGUGCAAGCAAACUCCCCGCGUGUGCCUUUUCUUCUGAUAUGAAGGACUUUUGACUAUCGGUGUUUCAUUUUCAUCGGUACCAAUUUCGAGCCGAGCGAUUUUUCGCUACUUUGUUUCCCCGAAAUUCCAGCAACGCUACCGCUACUAUCACUGCAGCUCCUUGGUUGUCGACAAUCCUGCGACGGGGUAACUGGUAAAUGGAUAGGAGGGAUCUCGGCCUUCCGACUGGCUACAGCUGGCCCGCGAACGGGACGUUAGCGGCACAAGAGCGAACUAAAGCGGAAAAGCACGAGAAAGCCGUCGCCGAGCAGCGUCAUAAACGAGCCUUUGAUCCUCAAAUAUGGAAAACAAAGUAGUUCUCUACUCCUGGUUUUGUCGUCUUCGCCUUCCCACUAGCCUUUGGAGACAGCCCGUGAUGGCCCUCAGCAGCUUGUAGAAAUGACGGAGUUUUCCCAAAUUCUCUGCUUCUCUUGUUUUUCAUUCUUCCCCUUCUAACCCAAGUUCUCCAUUCUUUCUCUUUACAUUCUAAGCCUAUCGCCUAUCCCACCUACUCAGUUUUUCUGGCAGCGUUUCUUCAGAUCUGUCUGGUUGCACUAGGCCGACUGAUACUUAUUUGCGUUCCGUUUUCCCAGUCGGGGUCUCUCAAAUGCUGGAUUAUACCCCUCACGUUUUAAGUACGAAAAUGGUGCCAAUCAGAUCUGCUAUACCGAUAUUGUGUUCGCAUUAACGAUGAUGGCUUUCAAAAUAUGAGGUCACGGCCAACGCAUAUCACUUAAUAAAAUUUCAUUUGUGCUUAAUCCAUUCGCGUCCAAUCCAAACGCACGACAACGAGCAUCUCCCAUUUGAUGAAACAAGCUGCGUACAUAGUACCUCAAAUCCCGGUAAGAUUCUUUAUAGACACAUCAAUUCAUCUGAGGAAGUACGCUGCCAUAAACUGUGAAGUAGGUUGCACACACACUACAGACCAAGUUAUCGCAUCCUUGCAACAAGCGUUGAUAAGACAAUCUAACUGGCCUAUAGUAAAAUAACUAUUAAGCGACCAUUCUUUGCGACCGUUUCGCCGAUAGCGACCGUUUCAUUGUUAAAAUGAGGCUUUGCUUUAUUUGAGGCCCGUUCGUGAUCUUGAUACGGAUAAGAACCCCAGUUGAUAAACGC
Long non-coding RNA from Varroa destructor (honeybee mite), 1476 nucleotides. RefSeq lists it as uncharacterized. NCBI's taxonomy places the organism in Eukaryota, Metazoa, Arthropoda, Arachnida, Mesostigmata, Varroidae. The record is from RefSeq and is a predicted model, not a curated record.